This 1361-nucleotide ribosomal RNA is filed under the name Myroides odoratimimus. Its description in RNAcentral is "bacterial SSU rRNA". It matches the Rfam family "Bacterial small subunit ribosomal RNA", at positions 77 to 1452 of the family's 1533-position model. Lineage: Bacteria; Pseudomonadati; Bacteroidota; Flavobacteriia; Flavobacteriales; Flavobacteriaceae. The record is from RNAcentral.
AGCUUGCUUUUUUGAGACCGGCGCACGGGUGAGUAACGCGUAUGCAACCUACCUUAUACAGGGGAAUAGCCCGAAGAAAUUCGGAUUAAUGCUCCAUGGUUUAUCGAUAUGGCAUCGUAUUGAUAAUAAAGAUUUAUCGGUAUAAGAUGGGCAUGCGUAUCAUUAGCUAGUUGGUGUGGUAACGGCAUACCAAGGCAACGAUGAUUAGGGGUCCUGAGAGGGAGAUCCCCCACACUGGUACUGAGACACGGACCAGACUCCUACGGGAGGCAGCAGUGAGGAAUAUUGGUCAAUGGAGGCAACUCUGAACCAGCCAUGCCGCGUGCAGGAUGACGGUCCUAUGGAUUGUAAACUGCUUUUGUACAGGAAGAAACCUCCCUACGAGUAGGGACUUGACGGUACUGUAAGAAUAAGGAUCGGCUAACUCCGUGCCAGCAGCCGCGGUAAUACGGAGGAUCCGAGCGUUAUCCGGAAUUAUUGGGUUUAAAGGGUUCGUAGGCGGCUUUGUAAGUCAGUGGUGAAAUUUCCUAGCUUAACUAGGACACUGCCAUUGAUACUGCAGAGCUUGAAUAAUAUGGAAGUAACUAGAAUAUGUAGUGUAGCGGUGAAAUGCUUAGAUAUUACAUGGAAUACCAAUUGCGAAGGCAGGUUACUACGUAUUUAUUGACGCUGAUGAACGAAAGCGUGGGGAGCGAACAGGAUUAGAUACCCUGGUAGUCCACGCCGUAAACGAUGGAUACUAGCUGUUCGGUUUUCGGACUGAGUGGCUAAGCGAAAGUGAUAAGUAUCCCACCUGGGGAGUACGUUCGCAAGAAUGAAACUCAAAGGAAUUGACGGGGGCCCGCACAAGCGGUGGAGCAUGUGGUUUAAUUCGAUGAUACGCGAGGAACCUUACCAGGGCUUAAAUGUAGAUUGACAGAUUUGGAAACAGAUUUUUCUUCGGACAAUUUACAAGGUGCUGCAUGGUUGUCGUCAGCUCGUGCCGUGAGGUGUCAGGUUAAGUCCUAUAACGAGCGCAACCCCUAUUGUUAGUUACCAGCGCGUAGUGGCGGGGACUCUAGCAAGACUGCCGGUGCAAACCGUGAGGAAGGUGGGGAUGACGUCAAAUCAUCACGGCCCUUACGUCCUGGGCUACACACGUGCUACAAUGGCAAGUACAGAAAGCAGCUACCUGGCAACAGGAUGCGAAUCUCCAAAGCUUGUCUCAGUUCGGAUUGGAGUCUGCAACUCGACUCUAUGAAGCUGGAAUCGCUAGUAAUCGGAUAUCAGCCAUGAUCCGGUGAAUACGUUCCCGGGCCUUGUACACACCGCCCGUCAAGCCAUGGAAGCUGGGGGUACCUGAAGUCGGUGACCGCAAGGAG